UCCCUGGUGGCCUAGUGGCUAAGGACUCAGCAUUGUCAUUGCUGUGGCUCAGGUUACUGCUAUGGUUUGGGUUCAACCCCUAGCCAAGGAA
This 91-nucleotide transfer RNA is filed under the name Sus scrofa (pig). It matches the Rfam family "tRNA". Rfam says of the family: Transfer RNA (tRNA) molecules are approximately 80 nucleotides in length. Their secondary structure includes four short double-helical elements and three loops (D, anti-codon, and T loops). Lineage: Eukaryota; Metazoa; Chordata; Mammalia; Artiodactyla; Suidae. The record is from Rfam by way of RNAcentral.